RNAcentral lists this ribosomal RNA (468 nucleotides) under uncultured bacterium. RNAcentral's name for it is "partial 16S ribosomal RNA". It matches the Rfam family "Bacterial small subunit ribosomal RNA", at positions 28 to 507 of the family's 1533-position model. The record is from RNAcentral.
GACGAACGCUGGCGGCGUGCUUAACACAUGCAAGUCGAACGGAAAGGCCCUGCUUUUGUGGGGUGCUCGAGUGGCGAACGGGUGAGUAACACGUGAGUAACCUGUCCUUGACUUUGGGAUAACCUCAGGAAACUGGGGCUAAUACCGGAUAGGAGCUCCUGCCGCAUGGUGGGGGUUGGAAAGUUUCGGCGGUUGGGGUUGGACUCGCGGCUUAUCAGCUUGUUGGUGGGGUAGUGGCUUACCAAGGCUUUGACGGGUAGCCGGCCUGGGAGGGUGACCUGCCACAUUGGGACUGGGAUACGGCCCAGACUCCUACGGGAGGCAGCAGUGGGGAAUAUUGCACAGUGGGCGGAAGCCUGAUGCAGCAACGCCGCGUGCGGGAUGACGGCCUUCGGGUUGUAUACCGCUUUCGCCUGUGACGAAGCGUGAGUGACGGUAAUGGGUAAAGAAGCACCGGCUAACUACGUG